UCUGGAAAUGGAGAUCUUGGCUAACAAUGGCUUCAGUUUUGGCACAACAGUAUUUUAACUUCAGAAGUUCAUUUUUUACGAUCAUGUAGUGGUUUCUAGUCUCAUGGCACUUUGAUACCAGAGCUGUUAGUGCAGUAGAAAUAGAGAGCUACAUAGUAGCUUUAAAAAAAAAGCACAAAAAAAUUAAAAGCUGAACUCUCUACAUUGAAGAUCCGUUCAGUGGUGUGUAGCGUACAUACACUACACUUACCCCUAGCACAGGUCUGAACAGCCGUGUAGAUGGGGAGGCACUACUAAACAGACUAGAGUAAAGACACUCCUGAAGCCUAUUUUUUUUUUCUGAAUGUUUCUGUUUGGACCAUGAACUGAAAAAUCGACUAUUUGCUCAACUCUAAUUGUGACACUUCUAUGAAAAUGUAAGGCAUUUCCAAUCAUAGCUUUCCUACCUACGAAGAGGAUGAAUGAAAACUCUGUCUUCUUGAAUACCAGCUUCUUAUUCUUUAUGGUAUUGAGAUUGUAGAUCCCUUUUUUACCCUCCCCUUUGGGAUCCUAAUACACCAUUUUUCUCCCUGCCACUGUGAGCCAGAUUUAUCCACAGAACAGCCAGUCCUUCACCUCUUUUGCUGAGACGGUGCCCACAGAACAGAACUAAUAGGAGCAAAGUUACAGCACCAUAGCCUAUGAUGACGUAACGCUGUACUGUAGAUGAGCCUACCACAAUGGAAGAACACCGCCGUAGGAACACCACCUCCCUGAGCAACAGUAGCUAGAUGGACAGAAGCAUUCUUCUGUCGUCCUAGUCGCAUCUACACCAGAAGUUAGGUCGGCAUAGCUGCAGCACUCAAAAGCGUGGAUUUUUCUCACCCUUCAGCAUCACAGCUAUAUGGACUAGGCCUGAGACUACCAAAAAGGGUGUCAAUUGUAGGAUGACUUCUGUGUUGUAAACAUCUGUCCCCUUAGAAACUUGAUGGUUAACACAAAUUUAUGUCAUGUAACAGGUCACUAAGCAGAUGGUUAUAACCUGGUGUCAUUAUCAAACUGGAUUUGAAGAAUGUGGCCUUGAUGAUGUGAAAGAUUCUGUAUCCCAUUUCUAUAUCACCCCUCUCAUUUACUUCACUUAGACUGUACUCAGCUCAGCACAUGAAAUAAGGAAAUAAAAUUUAGCUUUCAAAUUUAAAUGUUUCCAGAAGGG
Molecule: long non-coding RNA, 1192 nt
Organism: Mauremys mutica (yellowpond turtle)
Lineage: Eukaryota; Metazoa; Chordata; Testudines; Geoemydidae
Exons: 4
Source: RefSeq, a predicted model, not a curated record